GGAUAAUAGUUCAGUGGUAGAGCACAUGCUUAGCAUGCACAAAGUCCUGGGUUCAAUCCCUAGUAUGUCCA
This 71-nucleotide transfer RNA is filed under the name Camelus bactrianus (Bactrian camel). It matches the Rfam family "tRNA". Rfam says of the family: Transfer RNA (tRNA) molecules are approximately 80 nucleotides in length. Their secondary structure includes four short double-helical elements and three loops (D, anti-codon, and T loops). Further hydrogen bonds mediate the characteristic L-shaped molecular structure. tRNAs have two regions of fundamental functional importance: the anti-codon, which is responsible for specific mRNA codon recognition, and the 3' end, to which the tRNAs corresponding amino acid is attached (by aminoacyl-tRNA synthetases). tRNAs cope with the degeneracy of the genetic code in two manners: having more than one tRNA (with a specific anti-codon) for a particular amino acid; and 'wobble' base-pairing, i.e. permitting non-standard base-pairing at the 3rd anti-codon position. RNAcentral also lists the same sequence under 3 other names. Lineage: Eukaryota; Metazoa; Chordata; Mammalia; Artiodactyla; Camelidae. The record is from Rfam by way of RNAcentral.